UAUAGUGGGAAAAACAUUGACGCAAUA
Molecule: non-coding RNA, 27 nt
Filed under: Bombyx mori (domestic silkworm)
Lineage: Eukaryota; Metazoa; Arthropoda; Insecta; Lepidoptera; Bombycidae
Source: RNAcentral